Molecule: ribosomal RNA, 497 nt
Filed under: uncultured bacterium
Lineage: Bacteria
Description: partial 16S ribosomal RNA
Rfam family: Bacterial small subunit ribosomal RNA
Source: RNAcentral
GAUGGACGCUGGCGGCGUGCCUAAUACAUGCAAGUCGAGCGAACAGACGAGGAGCUUGCUCCUCUGACGUUAGCGGCGGACGGGUGAGUAACACGUGGAUAACCUACCUAUAAGACUGGGAUAACUUCGGGAAACCGGAGCUAAUACCGGAUAAUAUAUUGAACCGCAUGGUUCAAUAGUGAAAGACGGUUUUGAUGUCACUUAUAGAUGGAUCCGCGCCGCAUUAGCUAGUUGGUAAGGUAACGGCUUACCAAGGCAACGAUGCGUAGCCGACCUGAGAGGGUGAUCGGCCACACUGGAACUGAGACACGGUCCAGACUCCUACGGGAGGCAGCAGUAGGGAAUCUUCCGCAAUGGGCGAAAGCCUGACGGAGCAACGCCGCGUGAGUGAUGAAGGUCUUCGGAUCGUAAAACUCUGUUAUUAGGGAAGAACAAAUGUGUAAGUAACUAUGCACGUCUUGACGGUACCUAAUCAGAAAGCCACGGCUAACUACGUG